CUUUUUCUUUAAUUUCUGCAGCCCUCCCCACACGCACACCCCGAGGCGCGCCCCCCACCUACCCAGGCGCUGCGCGCCCUCCCCGUGCCCCCUGCUGGGCGAGCCGGGCCUCGGUGGGCGAGCACCGCCCGUGGGGAGCCGCGGGGGUCCCGGGGGUCGCCCUCCAGCGCCAGGAGCCCUCCCUGCUCCGCCAGGGCCACGGGCAGAGGCCGUGACGGGAAGGUGCCAUCCCGACCUCCGCUGAGGUUCCCCUUGGUCCCUCCUGCUCCAGCUCGACUCCUCCAAGCAGCCGAGGAACACGACGUGACAAAACCCUCACCACCGGUGCAACACCGGCGCUGGGUCCUGAAACGCGGAGACAUCAGGAGUGGGGAAAAUGGGUAGGAUCAGCAGUUCACCCUCCCUGUUGGUGUUGGAUUUACACACUGAUUAAAAUGCCAUUGGUACGGUUCUUCCUACCCCCUGUAGCAUCUCAGCGGUGCUUUGCAUUACCUUUGAUGUGCCUCACGUGCCGAGUGCCUCCCAGAGAGCAGCGGGGGAAGCUUCAAGAACGGUGUUCAAUAUGCACAAAGGCUGUCUCUGGAGAAGUUUAUCUUCGUGCAAAAAGAGAAUGGGGGAAAACAAAGACUGGGUGUCCCUGGGCAUUGCAGGUGGAGCUGAAUGUUGGAGCUCACCUCUCACCUCCUACCUGGGGUUUGGGCCCAGCUGUUUGACCAAGGAAGUGGCUGAUCCCCUGCUUGUGCACAAGGCAGAGGCCAGGCUCUGUCAAGGAGAUGCCAAGAGAAACCAGCCCCUGCCCCAGCCCAUGGUCCUGUGCAGAGAGGAACAGCUUUUUCUGGCUGGGUGUGAAGGCAGCGAGGGCUGGGGGGCUCAGGAGGCUCCAGCCCCUGAUUGGGCUCAUUCGCCAUGCAGCUGGCACUCCCCGAGGAGGAGCACGCGACUGCAGAGCUGACUGCUAAAACGCAUCCCGCUGCGAAGCAUCGCACAGAUUUGCAUAUAGUUCUUCAUCAGAAUUGAGACGUAUUUGUUUAAUUAGCACUGCUGUAACACCGGCUGGGCUGGAGGAGGUGCGGGUGAGCGGGCAGCUGGACCCCAGGCAUGUCAGGAGAACAGGACGCAGCCAUAGGGACAGCAUCAAAGGGUUCCCUGUGUGGCAUUGAGCAGCACAGUCAGCUCUCGGUGUGGCAGCAGGUCCAGCUGCAAAGCACGAAGCCCCUGCUUGGAGAUGAGCAGGGCACCAAACGGGGCUGAGACAUCCUCCCCGGGCAGCUGGAGGAUGUGGGUGCUUCGCUUCGGUGCUGCCUGCAGCAGCUGGGUCACCUUGCCCUGAGGUUUUUGAGCAAAGAGCCAAGGUACGGCCCGUGAGCUCGGUGAUGGAUAGAGAGGCAUUACAUGGGACAUGGGCCUGUCGUUAUCUGGCUUUUUGGCACCACAGAGGGGUCCCCGUGCCCUCAGCUGGUGCCAGGCAGCACGGCAGAGGGCAGGCUUUGGCUCCGGCAUCCUCAGCCACACAGCCUCCGUCGGGCAGGCAGAUUGAUAGGUGUCUGGCGGAAAACGUCCCGCUGAUAGCCCGAGAACAAAACGCAAACAGGGAGAAAUGACAGCUGCUCCUGUAGCUGUUCCAUCAUCGCUGCCGAUAGCAGCACGGCGCCUGCAGCUCCGCGAUUGAUGCGUCCCCGGGGACACCGGGAGCGCGGAUGCCACAAUCAGGGAGGAUAAAAGAAUCGCUGCUGGGACCCAGAGGAGGCUUCGGAUCCUUAUCGGGAACAAGAAGGACAUCAAUCUGGUGCCAGCACGGGCCUGUCAGGCGCAGCCCGCACACUCAGCACUGGUAGGACACAGCCCUUGCAGUGGUGUGGAGCAGCUCCUAAUGCCAUGUAAAGGACUCUGAUUAGUUUAAAGCAAAGCCUGGUAGCAGUUUCCAACAGCGUCUCGAGGAAAUUGCAUCGUGACCAUUUCAAUCUCCACUGCUGCUGCCCUCUGGAGAGCGCAGGCAAUAUUUCUCUCUCCGUUGGAACAAGUCGGUCCCUUUGACUUUUGUUUGCGCUCACCCUUCAGCUGAUGUAGGGCCGCUUAGCAGGCGAGGAGGUGUUUGGGAGCCAGCCUCCCCUGCGCUCAGAGCACACAGCUCACCCUCCGUGUCCCUAACUGGUGGCUCUGUUGCUCCUGGUGGCUGCCAGCACUGCUCCCCAGCAGCCCCACGCAUUGGGGACAUCAGUGCUGCUGUCACCCACACUUUUCCUGCUGGGGAGCUGCAGCAGGAGCGUGGGGCAGCAGCAAGCCUGUGCCCAGGCAGGCAGGAGAGGUGCCUGCGUGGGAUCUGGGCAAGGCUGCCCAAAGGUGCCCUCCCUGCCUGCUCCCCGCUUGCGCUCAUCAGCUGUGACUCCUGGCAGGAGAGCUCCAUCCGAGAGCGGGCCGGGAGCCACGGGCAGGUAAUUGCUAAAGCAAGCAGGGCCACGUUAAUUGAGGUGACGGCAGCCAGCAAUGUGCUCUCAGUUAAGCCUUGGCUCUGCCGCAGCCGGUGGGCAGGCACCGCGUGUCCCUGCCGUCCCCUCCCGUGCUGUGCCCUGCUGUCGGCUCCGUGGCCAGGGGACACGCUCCUCGCCGGCCACCCCUGCACCUUGUGGCACGAGGCAGCGUCUUGGGGACCCCCGUGCCAUGGGGGACCCGUGGAGCCAGGGCUGGCCCCGUGUCGGGGAGCAGGGAGGGGUGGGAUGCGGCUGUUAUGGCAACAGAGGCUCCGGAGAUGAAGGGAAGGAAAAAGGCAUGCUUUAAAGCACGUUUCCAUGGCAACAACCAUCUUCAAAGGCCUGGGUGAAAAAAAUAAAUAAAAUAAUUGGUAAAAAGAGGAGGUUUCCGUAGAGGGGGCACCUCUGUGGUGCUGGGGGAGUCAGACCGGGAGCGUGGGGCCUCCUGAGAGGGGAUGGGAGCUGGCAGAGAGGAGGGAGCAGAGCUGUGGGGUUUGGGGAUGGUGUGGUGCCCCCUUCCUCACCCACAUUUUGGUUUUGCGGCUGGGGCUGUGCUCUGUACACCACAGGCUCCAUCCUGCACACCACAGAGCACGGUUUUGGCCCCAACCACCGCCCUCACAGCCUCAUCACUCCCACCACAUCAUUUUGGGUUGUCCGAGCCCCCAGGUGAACCUGUCUUUGCUCACCUAGCCCCACUCACUGUCCCAAAAGCCCAGCUCUGCCAUCACAACCUGCUCCCUGCACUGGGGCACAGCUGGCAGCCUUCUUGCUGCCCGUAGCCUGCAGUGCUGAUAGCCACAGGUGGACCAAAGCCACUGCUUU
Molecule: non-coding RNA, 3293 nt
Organism: Anas platyrhynchos (mallard)
Lineage: Eukaryota; Metazoa; Chordata; Aves; Anseriformes; Anatidae
Source: RefSeq, a predicted model, not a curated record